RNAcentral lists this ribosomal RNA (500 nucleotides) under uncultured bacterium. RNAcentral's name for it is "partial 16S ribosomal RNA". It matches the Rfam family "Bacterial small subunit ribosomal RNA", at positions 29 to 523 of the family's 1533-position model. The record is from RNAcentral.
AUUGACCGCUGUCGGAAUGCUUUACCCAUGCAAGUCGCCCGGCAGCACUGACUUCGGUCUGGUGGCGCGUGGCGACCGGUUGAGUAAUGUAUCGUCACGUGCCCAGUCGUGGGGGAUCCCGUCUGGAAAAUUCCUCUCAUACCGCCUACGAUCUAUGGAUGAACGCGGGGGAUCGCCCUAACGCGCGCGAUUGGAGCGGACGAUAUCAGAUUAGGUAGGUGGUGGGGUAAAGGCCCACCAAGCCAACGAUCUGUAGCUGGUCUGAGAGGACGACCAGCCACACUAGAACUGAGACACGGGACAGACUCCUACGGGAGGCAGCAGUGGGGAAGGGGGGACAAUGGGCGAAAGCCGGAGCCAGCCAUGCCGCGUGCAGGAUGAAGGCCCUCGGGUUGUAAACUGCUUUUGGACAGAACGAAAAGGUGGCGACGAAUACGAGGAGCGCAUGACGGGACUGUAAGAAUAAGCACCGGCUAACUACGUGCCAGCCGCCGCAGUAA